RNAcentral lists this ribosomal RNA (460 nucleotides) under uncultured bacterium. RNAcentral describes it as "partial 16S ribosomal RNA". It matches the Rfam family "Bacterial small subunit ribosomal RNA", at positions 338 to 795 of the family's 1533-position model. The record is from RNAcentral.
CCUACGGGUGACAGCAGUGAGGAAUAUUGGUCAAUGGGCGCGACCCUGAACCAGCCAAGUAGCGUGAAGGAUGACUGCCCUACGGGUUGUAAACUUCUUUUAUAAAGGAAUAAAGUGAGGCACGUGUGCCUUUUUGUAUGUACUUUAUGAAUACGGCUCGGCUAACUCCGUGCCAGCAGCCGCGGUAAUACGGAGGAUCCGAGCGUUAUCCGGAUUUAUUGGGUUUAAAGGGAGCGUAGUUGGGUUGUUAAGUCAGAUGUGAAAGUUUGCGGCUCAACCGUAAAAUUGCAAUGGAAACUGGCAGGCGUGAGUGCAGGUGAGGUAGGCGGAAUUCGUGGUGUAGCGGUUAAAUGCUUAGAUAUCACGAAGAACUCCGAUUGCGAAGGCAGCUUACUAAACUGCCACUGACAUUGAUGCUCGAAAGUGUGCGUAGCAAACAGGAUUAGAUAUCCGUGUAGUC